This is a long non-coding RNA of Drosophila nasuta, 854 nucleotides long. RefSeq lists it as uncharacterized. The transcript has 4 exons. The record is from RefSeq and is a predicted model, not a curated record. NCBI's taxonomy places the organism in Eukaryota, Metazoa, Arthropoda, Insecta, Diptera, Drosophilidae.
UUUAGAUCGAAGUAAGCGUGUCUCAAAUAUAAUAAUCCAUUCCAAAAUCAAUCGACCCUGAGAGUUGUACAUUGUAUAAAAUUUUACGGAAUAGAAAGUUCUCAAUCUCAAGUUAAAAAUGUGUUUGUGUGAAUCGUGUGAUUGCUUAGACAACUGGUGUUGUUCACUGAAGCGAAAAGUUUGGGCUUUUGGUAUUUGGACUAUCAUUUUUGGAAUUUUAGCUUUGAUUUUUCAUGUAGUGCAGUAUACACUUUUCGAAAAUCGCGAUGCUCCUGCGUACAAGGAUAAUGAAUAUUAUAAAGUAACUUAUUCAUUAAAUUUUAACGGUCAUAUUUUAAUGAUUGUUCUGGCGUGCCUUACUGUGCUUGCUGGACUUCUAAUGCUAUACAGUAUUAAAGCAUCCAUCGCACCACUGUACAUGGUGACCAUAGUUGUUGGCUCAAUAUGUCCUUUCGUUUAUUUUUUUUUAGUGAUAGUGCCAAUUGUGCAAGUUUUAUUCAUAAUCAUUGGAUGUAGAUACUAUUCAAAUGUAUUAAAGUGAUAAUAUACAGAUCAUGAAUAUUACAAAUUUUCAAGUAAUUGUCUCGAUAUGAAAAUAACAUUUUCGGAAAUCAAUAAAUCUGAAAAUUUCGCGUGUUACAUCUAUGUUUGACGUUCUUGGUUUUCGGAUCAAUAUCGCCAAGCGUUAAUCUGUUUAUAACAACGCCAGUGCACGUUUCUUUAUAUUCAUUGGUUGCAGAUAUUAUUCUACAGUGUUAAAAUAACUCAAAAUCAAAUUUAAUUUGUGAACAAAUUUAAUAGAUUAAAGGUCUACUUUUACUUUCUCGAUCCCAAUAAAAUCUUAAGAAACAACG